ACACAUGCAAGUCGAACGAGCGAGAGAGAGCUUGCUUUCUCGAGCGAGUGGCGAACGGGUGAGUAACGCGUGAGGAACCUGCCUCAAAGAGGGGGACAACAGUUGGAAACGACUGCUAAUACCGCAUAAGCCCACGGCUCGGCAUCGAGCAGAGGGAAAAGGAGUAAUCCGCUUUGAGAUGGCCUCGCGUCCGAUUAGCUAGUUGGUGAGGUAACGGCCCACCAAGGCGACGAUCGGUAGCCGGACUGAGAGGUUGAACGGCCACAUUGGGACUGAGAUACGGCCCAGACUCCUACGGGAGGCAGCAGUGGGGAAUAUUGCACAAUGGGGGAAACCCUGAUGCAGCGACGCCGCGUGGAGGAAGAAGGUCUUCGGAUUGUAAACUCCUGUUGUUGAGGAAGAUAAUGACGGUACUCAACAAGAAAGUGACGGCUAACUACGUGCCAGCAGCCGCGGUAAAACGUAGGUCACAAGCGUUGUCCGGAAUUACUGGGUGUAAAGGGAGCGCAGGCGGGAAGACAAGUUGGAAGUGAAAUCCAUGGGCUCAACCCAUGAACUGCUUUCAAAACUGUUUUUCUUGAGUAGUGCAGAGGUAGGCGGAAUUCCCGGUGUAGCGGUGGAAUGCGUAGAUAUCGGGAGGAACACCAGUGGCGAAGGCGGCCUACUGGGCACCAACUGACGCUGAGGCUCGAAAGUGUGGGUAGCAAAC
RNAcentral lists this ribosomal RNA (709 nucleotides) under uncultured bacterium. RNAcentral's name for it is "bacterial SSU rRNA". It matches the Rfam family "Bacterial small subunit ribosomal RNA", at positions 51 to 773 of the family's 1533-position model. The record is from RNAcentral.